AUUGAACGCUGGCGGCAUGCCUUACACAUGCAAGUCGAACGGCAGCACGGACUUCGGUCUGGUGGCGAGUGGCGAACGGGUGAGUAAUGUAUCGGAACGUACCUUUCAGUGGGGGAUAACGUAGCGAAAGUUACGCUAAUACCGCAUAUUCUGUGAGCAGGAAAGCAGGGGAUCGCAAGACCUUGCGCUGAUUGAGCGGCCGAUAUCAGAUUAGCUAGUUGGUGGGGUAAAGGCCUACCAAGGCUACGAUCUGUAGCGGGUCUGAGAGGAUGAUCCGCCACACUGGAACUGAGACACGGUCCAGACUCCUACGGGAGGCAGCAGUGGGGAAUUUUGGACAAUGGGGGCAACCCUGAUCCAGCCAUGCCGCGUGAGCGAUGAAGGCCUCGGUCGUAAGACUCUGUCUCAGAAGAUAAUGACGGUACGUUGUAGGAGGAAGACCCGGCCGUAACUAACGUGCCAGCAGCCGCGGUAAGAGUACUCUA
RNAcentral lists this ribosomal RNA (485 nucleotides) under uncultured bacterium. RNAcentral's name for it is "bacterial SSU rRNA". It matches the Rfam family "Bacterial small subunit ribosomal RNA", at positions 30 to 530 of the family's 1533-position model. The record is from RNAcentral.